This 440-nucleotide ribosomal RNA is filed under the name uncultured bacterium. RNAcentral describes it as "partial 16S ribosomal RNA". It matches the Rfam family "Bacterial small subunit ribosomal RNA", at positions 338 to 795 of the family's 1533-position model. The record is from RNAcentral.
CCUACGGGAGGCAGCAGUGGGGGAUAUUGCACAAUGGGGGAAACCCUGAUGCAGCGACGCCGCGUGUAGGAAGACGGUCCUCUGGAUUGUAAACUACUGUCCCCAGGGACGAAGAUGACGGUACCUGGGGAGGAAGCUCCGGCUAACUACGUGCCAGCAGCCGCGGUAAUACGUAGGGAGCGAGCGGUGUCCGGAAUUACUGGGUGUAAAGGGAGAGUAGGCGGGGAUGCAAGUUGGGUGUUAAAUCUACCGGCUCAACUGGUAGUCGCACUCGAAACGACAGCUCUUGAGUGAAGUAGAGGCAGGCGGAAUUCCUAGUGUAGCGGUGAAAUGCGUAGAUAUUAGGAGGAACACCAGUGGCGAAGGCGGCCUGCUGGGCUUUUACUGACGCUGAGGCUCGAAAGUGUGGGGAGCAAACAGGAUUAGAUACCCGAGUAGUC